GGAGAGAACAGAGUGCAUACCCAGCUCUGUCUGUGUCUGAUGCAUGGCUGGGGCUUAAAUCCUCAUGUUGCAGGCUGUUGUUCUAGAGAAGCACAGUUCCAAGUACGGCAUGCCUGCUGCUUGUCAUACAAUGCUUCUUAUCUCACGGAGGAUGCACUUCGAGAAGCACCACUUAGAGCACGAGCUGCUUGAGGACAGGAGCCUUAUCUCUGCAUCCUAGUCCUAACCCAGGGUCUGAAACAUAACAAAUGCUGGACACUCUCUUCCUCCUGUGCUGUGUGGCUUUCUGCUCCAUGACAGACUGUCCCCAGAAGUUGCCUGCCUUCUGAGCCCUGCCCCCUCUCUCCCACUCCACCACUUCCUUGCCCUCUCUUCACAUAUAGUUCUGACAUCCCCUCCUCUGACAGCCAUCCCAGUGCCUCCUCUGGAGGAGAAAUUGCCCUGUUCUGAACCUCUAGAGCAACAUGUCUACAGUUCACUUCUCACAGGUACAAUGCUUCUUUCUUUUUGGUCAUUUUACUUUGUGAUCCUUUUCUCUGCCAGCUGUAAAUUCCUGUGGGCAGAGACCCUGUUCUACUUGGUGUGCUCAGGACCCAACCUUCCCCCUUUC
This is a long non-coding RNA of Bos taurus (domestic cattle), 610 nucleotides long. Lineage: Eukaryota; Metazoa; Chordata; Mammalia; Artiodactyla; Bovidae. The record is from Ensembl.